Balaenoptera ricei (Rice's whale) is the source of this 1205-nucleotide long non-coding RNA. RefSeq lists it as uncharacterized. The record is from RefSeq and is a predicted model, not a curated record. The transcript is spliced from 2 exons. Lineage: Eukaryota; Metazoa; Chordata; Mammalia; Artiodactyla; Balaenopteridae.
UGCUGACCGGCGUCCCUGCACCUGACUCGAGUCACGGGAAACGGCUGAGUCACUCUGUCCACUUUCGAGCGCGGCUUCGGACCUCAGGAUAGGAUUUAAGAAGUCAUUUCCCAGGAAAGAAGGUCUUUAUUUGCCCAAGUGUGUUAUCAUUUUCAGCUUGGAAGUUUUCAGUCAUUCAUUGGUUGAGGAAUUAUUUCAGAGGAAUGUGUAUAUUCAUAUGUCUAAUAAAUUUGGAUAUUUAUAAUAAAAUCAAAACCUCAUAGUUUCUCUAAAUGAGGUAGACUACUGUGCGUAGAGUGCUUAGAAUAGCUUAUAGAGAGCAGUAAUAAACAUAGUUUUUCUCUCUUGACAGUACCAGUAUAGGGAUGGAGGCCAUUUUAAACAAAAGUGUAAUAUAAUGAAAUCCUCUUUACUUAUAACCUAAUUAGAAAUGUUAUUUAAGUGGCCAAGAGUGUGUGGAAAUUGACCAGACUUCUGUAUAUUUUCUUCAGAAUACUUUGAAACCUCUUUCACUGUUUCACAAUAUUUACAGAUUGUGCAAAUCAGAUUUAGUAAUACUAUAGAUAGUCAAAUGCCUUAGAGAAGAACAAAACAGGAAUUACUAGCCAAUUUACAUGUUGAUGUCCUAGGAUACAAGUACAAUGUUAAUGAUAUUUUUUUUAACAAAAGAUUGCAUAGAGAGUUAAGGGAGGACUUCCCUGGUGGCGCAGUGGUUAAGAAUCCGCCUGCCAAUGCAGGGGACACGGGUUCGAUCCCCGGUCCGGAAAGAUCCCACAUGCCGCGGAGCAGCUAAGCCCGUGCGCCACAACUACUGAGCCUGUGCUCUAGAGCCCGCAAGCCACAACUGCUGAAACCCGUGCACCUAGAGCCACAACUACUGAAGCCCAUGCGCCUAGAGCCCAUGCUCCGCAACAAGAGAAGCCACCGCAAUGAGAAGCCAGUGCAUCGCAACAAAGAGUAGCCCCCGCUCGCCGCAACUAGAGAAAGCCUGCGCGCAGCAACAAAGACCCAGCACAGCCAAAAAUAAAUUAAUUAAUUUAAAAAAAGGGAAAAAAAAUUCAGUUUUAUCUCUCAAACUCGGGAUACUUAAAAUCACAUUCUUAAGUUAAUAAACUCUGUUAAUAUGCUAAGCACAUCCUGUUUGGCUUUCCUUACAGUUGCCACCUUUAGUGUAGUGUUUUAAAUAAAGCUUUUCCUACUCAGAA